GACGAACGCUGGCGGCGUGCUUAACACAUGCAAGUCGAACGGAAAGGCCCUGCUUUUGUGGGGUGCUCGAGUGGCGAACGGGGGAGUAACACGUGAGUAACCUGCCCUUGACUUUGGGAUAACUUCAGGAAACUGGGGCUAAUACCGGAUAGGAGCUCCUGCUGCAUGGUGGGGGUUGGAAAGUUUCGGCGGUUGGGGAUGGACUCGCGGCUUAUCAGCUUGUUGGUGGGGUAGUGGCUUACCAAGGCUUUGACGGGUAGCCGGCCUGAGAGGGUGACCGGCCACAUUGGGCCUGUGAUGCGGCCCAGACUCCUACGGGAGGCAGCAGUGGGGAAUAUUGCACGAUGCGCGGAAGCCUGAUGCAGCAACGCCGCGUGCGGGAUGACGGCCUUCGGGUUGUAAACCGCUUUCGCCUGUGACGAAGCGUGAGUGACGGUAAUGGGUAAAGAAGCACCGGCUAACUACGUG
Molecule: ribosomal RNA, 468 nt
Filed under: uncultured bacterium
Lineage: Bacteria
Description: partial 16S ribosomal RNA
Rfam family: Bacterial small subunit ribosomal RNA
Source: RNAcentral